AGGAGGGGGCUGCGGCGGCGGCGGCAGGCGGGGUGCCCGCGGCUCGGCUCAGCUCGGCGGACAGCUCCCACCAUGGACGCCUAGGAAAAAACGAGGCGUUGGAGGGAGGAAAAACUUGGUCCUAUUUUAAUAGCCUCAGUGAAGUCUUUAAACGUGGAAAAGGGCUGCUCGCCGGGAAUUUUACCUGUGCCGAAGUCUCUGUAGGAUCGGGGCCUUGGAAAAGGUGAUAUUUUAUCAGCUGUUGUUUGCAUCCGUCAAAGUUUGUGGGUAGCUUGAUAAAUGUUAAACAGGGAAGCAGAAAGUGCUGGUGAGGCCAGACUCGGAGAUAACGGCACAUUCAAUAGCUUAAUUUCACAAUUAGUUUACUGUAUUAUUGGAAGCAAAUCAUAUUUCACUGUGCCUACACUAGUGCUCUAUUUUUAGCUAUAAUGUAGCUAAAAAGGAGGAACCUACUGAGAUAUAUUAUAACAUUGAAUGUGAACAAUUCUGUUCUCUCUCUCUUUACUCAUUUCAUGUCAUGCAUCUGGUUUAGAAUACAGCUCAUUUAUUAAUUGAACAGAGCUACUGUGGACGGAUUGGAGGCUGCAAUUCCAAGGCAGAGAAAAGUUCCACACAACUCUGUGAGGAACCUGGCAAAUCACAGCCACGAAAAAAGCACCUAUGCACAUAAGCUGCUCUAUUAAUAACUGAUGUAGACAGAACAACUAUUUUUUUGUUAGUUUAUAGUAUCAGUGUACUUGGUUUUGGUUGCACUUCUUUUGUUUUAGUCUUCCUGAUUUUUUUUUUUCUUCAGGGCAAAGGUGUAAGUGAAAAAGACAUCUGAAAUGCUUGGAGGUAGCCUCAGUCUUUGUGUUGCAUCACCUUUUUUAUUAUAUUUUUGGGGACAAAAAGAAGAGAGAAAAUAAAAUUGAGAGAAUAUACCGUUCUUCUGUCUUAAUACCAGUCGUCUGAUCCCCUCCAUUCCCCUUGUGUUACAGACAGCGAUGGCUGCUGGAAGAAUAAGGCACCUUUCGUGGUACAUGCAAGAUGCUCACAGAUUUUCCACAAAUUCAGUAGAAACCUCAUUUGUUUUCUGCUUGUGGUUCACAGGAGCACUUAGCUUUUUAGUGGUUGACACCAUAUCUAUUUUUAGCAGGAUUUUAACAGCUGUCACUAACAACUAAGAUCUCAUCUUGAACAGGGAGGAGAGUUUAUCUGUUUUAUUUAAAAAAAAAAAUCAAACUACAUAAUUGUCAGAUUAUAAAAUGCAAUUUGGAUCUUUAUCUGUGAAGAGAAAAGGCUAUCUUUUCUCAUUAUACCAAUUCCAUGGGGGGAAAAAGGAUCUGUAGUGGGCUUGAUAAAGUAACUAAAGGGCUUUGCAAGGUUUGGAAAUAAUGUUAUUCAAAGGCAUACAAUGUAUUUAUAGCACAUUUCUGAUUCGGUUAAAAGUGGUCCUGUUUUACUGCCUUCUGCAGCUGUGUUGCGAUGGGGGAAGCCGCAAAGAGUCGAGUCAUAGUUUUCCAAGUAGGUCAAGAGGAGCAGCAUGGACACCUCCAACAAGCGAUUCUCUUCCCUCUCGUUAGAUUUUAUAAGAGGUUAACUCAUGUCAGACACAUGACACUGAAAGCAGCAGACAGACAAGUGUAAGCCACUCUGUAGCAGAUGUCAUCUCUGUUCCUGAAGAUAGUGGUAAAUUUGCUAUGGAUAAUGCAUUACAAAACAAGAUAACGCUGAAACUCAGCAAGUGUCAAAUUUUACCUCCUCCCAUGCUUGGUAAAGUGAGUGAAUUGGUGUUAGGGGCUGCAGGAGCAGCAGUGGAGUGUAAAAGCAGCAUACUGUACUAUCUUACUUAGAGGUCAUGUGCCCUAUUUUGAGAACUGAACCAAAGCGGAUGAAGUUUUGAGUUGGUUCCAACUAAGGCAGCUGGGCAUUUCCCACUUCUCUCCAGCUCCAGCCCAGGAAUGCAGGCAAUCACAUGGUCACACAUAUUAUUCCCUUACCUGACAUUAUUCACCGGAGAUUUAAUUUUUAUGCCGUUUAGCUCAUGUAGUUUUGAUUAUUUGAGAUUUACGGCUGAUCAGGAGUAGUUGCAUUUUGGGAAGACGCUGGAAAAACGUUGGGGAUGACAGAUGAGAGUUUACUUUCCCUGACUAACAGAUGUGAGUCUUCUGAGAGAGGAGUCCACAGUUUUCUCCAACUCACCAGCUAAUUGUGUUAAAGCUAAUUUCUCAAGCCAUGAUGAAAGUCUUUAGAGUUCUUUACAAGACAAACUGUAAGUAAGCAUGUUUUCUGUAUGGUAUGCUUAUGUUCUCUGAGAUAUAAAUAUUUUAUUUAUCUAGUCAAAUGUUGAACAAUUUUGUUUUCUAAUUAUAGAUAAAUCUUUUAGCUGAGCAAGAGAACAUGUUCCCUUUUAACCUGUAUUCUGUAUUCUUUAUUUUCUACCUUUUGUCUUUCUUUUUUUUUUUUUUAAUGCUCUUUAAUGGCCCUGUUAUAACUGUGGUUGAACCACAUCUAAGUAUAGUACAAUUGCAUUUCUAAUACACAUUUGCAUUAGCAACCACUUGCUUGUGUAAAGGGCCAAAACAUGCAUUUAAAAACACAUAUUUCCAAUACAUUUAAAAAAUCACAGUUUUUAUUGACUAUUAGCACCGAUAGUUUCAUCCACUUCAAAAUGAAAUCAUCUCACAAAGAAUUACUUGUUGUGGGUAAUAGGUCUUGUAGACAAUGAUAGGGCAAACAAAGCGUAAGGAAUAACACAUAGACAGUACUUUGUAUUUUUGUGGCUUUAAUGUGGCUGUAUAUGUUUACAUUGUUUGUCCUCAACUCCUCUCUUGUUUGCUACUUGCACUGUUACUUGUAAGAAAAUGCGAUUUGUAAAAAAAUUAUCUUUGCCACAGAAUGCAGCCUUAUCUUGAUAUUAAUGAAUUCAAAGCAGUGAAAGGUAGUGGCAGCUAAUUGCAUCUUAAUAUUUAUCUGCUACCUACUGGCAUUUUUACAGUAUCAAAUGGUAACUCAUGCUGUAAUCUGAUAAAAAUUUUGUAGUUACCGUAAUAGUACUGCACCUAUGCCAAAAAUCCAGACGUAGUGUUUAACAGCAGUAAAAAUAAGAGUGCAAAUAGCACCCUCCAGCACUUAAUAAACAUAUCAAAUGCAAAUUGGAGAAAAUUAUUUAAUCACUCUAUAGGCUAGUUAAUUUUGAUGAUUAUUCACAGUUCUAGUAGCAAUACUUUAGUGUGGAAUAAGUUAAUACCAAAAUUGUCAUGACACCAAGGUCACAAGCAGAAUUCAAAACUUGCUGCAUAGAGAAAAUUAUCUUCCUGAUUGAAUGAAGGUGCAGCUUUAAAGCUCCUACAGCAAAAGGAGAAUUUUUAUGUAAUUUUCCAGAUUAUUCUAUAAUCCUAAAAUUGUCUGCUCUCGGAUAUUAUGCAAUGAGAGAUGGUUUGGUAAUAACCUGCAAGAUCAUGUUCAUAUUGAGACUUGAAAGACCUUUGUUUUCUGGCUUUUUAAAAAAUGUUUAUUUCCGGGAGAAGAGAGAUUUUGGCUGGGCUCUCCCUGAAGUGUACAGUGAAGAACCUACCAAAGAGAGCAUUGCUAUGAAGCUGAAUUAAGAGAAUGUGCAAGAAAAGUGUUAAUUUAACAUGUGCCAAGACAGAAAAGGAAAAAAAAUCUAUUGAUUUUGGUGGAAGUUGCAGUACUUAAAUAGAUUUAUUUUGUUGAUUUUCUUUGUAUAUUUAAUGCUCACUUCCUGUGUAGGCUAUGGUCCCACUCAAGGAGUUCAUUCAUGUGUCACCUGGGCCUAAGCUGGACAGUUAAUCUUAUACAACAUGGAGAGCUGGUCCUUGUCAGGUGCAUGUUGAUUUAUACAGAUUUGUCACAAGGAACCGUAAGUCAGCAUUCUGAGGAAGUGUCCUGGCUUUGAAGAUAAAGGUCACACUAGAGUUUGUCUGGCCCAGACUAAAUAUCUGGUAAUGAAAGGUCACGUAUUCCAUUGUUUUCCCGCUGAACUCACCAAUACUUGGCCCACAAGCCAGGAGUGACAGAAAUUUUGGCACAUUGAAUGGGUUUGUCCCUAAUGAACCCAAACAUAUGUAAAUACGCAGACUGAUUCAUAGGUGAAAGUUGAUAACCUCACCAACCCAGUUGCCUGGCUAUGGUUUAUUCUCUUUUGGUUUAAGUGACAAUCGCUCAGCUUGGUUUCCAAAAACGGUGCUGUCUCUAUCAGUGCUUGUACAAUCCUGGCACCUACAGCAUCCAAGUACCACACAGAUGUAUUUCUUCUGAGCUCUGGAAAGAAGAGAAGCAUUAUCACCAUUUUAUAGACAGGGAGUGGAGAAAUAAAGAGAUUGCAGGAUUUAUGUCAGGUCCCCUAAGAAGGCUACAAAGUGCAAAGCUCAGUACUUCCCAAAUCACAGGUCACUCACUGCCUUUCAUUGCGGGGCCAGAUUUCCUUUUCAGCCACUGCCUUCCCAAAAUUGCUGCAUGAGCAUGAGUGACAUAAAGUUAAAACACAUUUGAUUGUUGUCUGGGGAAGGAAAAUGCACCAUGGUCUGUUUGAAUGUAUUCAUUAUUGAAAUGAGUUUAGAAAACCCAUACUAUCAGGGCUUUUAUUGUAUGGAUUAGCAGCAGCUGCUAAAGAUUCACUUUACCUUGCCUGCUCGAACCUGGUCAGAAGAGUCACUUCCAUGAAUGUGCAAGAAUUUCUGGCACGCAUUCUUGUACAUGCACAUUUACAUUUUGGCUUCUAUGCAUGCUGUUCAUGCACUCACCACUUUGAACUGUGCUUUUCGUGAGUAAUUCCGACAACAAAAUUCGCUCCUUUGUAUAUACAGGGAAAGCAAAUGCAUAAGAGGCCAAAUGAAAGUAAUUUCAUAUGUUUUUUCUUUAUUUAUUCAUUUUGCAUUCCAUUCUUAGCUAUGGUUAGACAGUCACAGAGUAGAAAGUAUGUACCCCUCUCAGGAUUUCUAAAGGAAGAUCAACCAGGACUCAGAGGAAAUCUUGCUUGUUUGAGAGUCAAAGUUGGUUCAGGGCAAGACUGAUAGAGGGUUUAGCAAACAAGAAUUUCUUCUGGCGUGGUUCAGUUAUGUCCUCUAUGCAUGACUUAAAAUUGACAACAUGAGCCUAUCAGAAAUCUUUCAUGUUCAACAGCUGCAUGGAAGACAUGACUGCUUCUAAAUGUAAGAGCAGGUACUGAUCUUUUCAAUCUGGUUCCUUUGGUUCUGUUCCAGGGAGAAGACACUGUCACUGUGAUGCUGGCCCUGCGGAGGCGCUUCACUUUUCAAGUCCUAACCUUUAUGCUUUUCUGUAAAAGGAAUGCAUAAGAACAGUGAAAGGAGACACAGGAUUGUUAAGGAAGUAGGGAUGCUCAGCUGAAUUCACAGUGUUUAUAUUAGUUUUAUAUACUUGCAACAAUAGUGAUUGUAACAAGAUUUACACUGUCAGGAGAGAAAGAAUUAGACCUUCUUUUACUGGGGAUCAUAAACAAAUGGAUAAAUAAAGUAGGCAGUACACUGUG
This is a long non-coding RNA of Pseudopipra pipra, 5491 nucleotides long. RefSeq lists it as uncharacterized. The transcript is spliced from 2 exons. The record is from RefSeq and is a predicted model, not a curated record. Lineage: Eukaryota; Metazoa; Chordata; Aves; Passeriformes; Pipridae.